This 467-nucleotide ribosomal RNA is filed under the name uncultured bacterium. RNAcentral describes it as "partial 16S ribosomal RNA". It matches the Rfam family "Bacterial small subunit ribosomal RNA", at positions 28 to 507 of the family's 1533-position model. The record is from RNAcentral.
GACGAACGCUGGCGGCGUGCUUAACACAUGCAAGUCGAACGGAAAGGCCCUGCUUUUGUGGGGUGCUCGAGUGGCGAACGGGUGAGUAACACGUGAGUAACCUGCCCUUGACUUUGGGAUAACUUCAGGAAACUGGGGCUAAUACCGGAUAGGAGCUCCUGCUGCAUGGUGGGGGUUGGAAAGUUUCGGCGGUUGGGGAUGGACUCGCGGCUUAUCAGCUUGUUGGUGGGGUAGUGGCUUACCAAGGCUUUGACGGGUAGCCGGCCUGAGAGGGUGACCGGCACCAUGGGACUUGAGAUACGGCCAGACCUCUUCGGGGGGGAAGAGGUGGGGAAUAUUGCCAAAUGGGGGAAGCCCUGAUGAAGCAACGCGGGGUGCGGGAUGACGCCUUUGGGGUUGUAACCGGUUUUGGCUUGUGCCGAGGGGUGGGUGCCGGUAAUGGGAAAGGAGGAACCGCCUACUUCGUU